UUGUAGUUUGAUCGAAAUUCUGAGUAUUUGAGUAGUGUGGGGAUGUUGUGGCUAAUUUUUUAGGAGGAUAAUGGGGGGUUUCGGUAGUUGUGGAAUUGGUGGAGGAAAAUAAGGAAUUUGAGGUGUAGUGGGAAGUGGACGGUUUGUAGAGGGAUAGUAGGAGAGUUUUUAGGAGCGAAUUAGGGGAGGUUGGGGAUUAUCCAAAUCUGAUUUCAUUUUUUUUUGCUAUUUCGAAAAUCCCCAAAGUAUUCCUCUUUCUUCUGACGGCUAUUCUACCUUCUCCUUGCCGAAAUAUUGUGAAUUUCUUUCCAUUUUGAUCUGUAUUUUCUUUAUUCCCUACCUUGCUGCCGAAUUUUUGUUCUUCUUGUACCACUCUCCCUUUCGUUCUCUUUAUUCAUAUAGUUCUUCGACGCGACAUUGAGUCUUACACACGCGGUAAGUCCAAUUUCGGUUCUGGCUUUUGUUUCUCUUAAUUUUCGAUCGACAAUUCUUAGUUCUUUGGUG
RNAcentral lists this long non-coding RNA (504 nucleotides) under Gossypium raimondii (Peruvian cotton). Its description in RNAcentral is "long non-coding RNA (GRAI_LNC009878)". Lineage: Eukaryota; Viridiplantae; Streptophyta; Magnoliopsida; Malvales; Malvaceae. The record is from RNAcentral.